RNAcentral lists this ribosomal RNA (514 nucleotides) under uncultured Sphingobacterium sp. RNAcentral's name for it is "bacterial SSU rRNA". It matches the Rfam family "Bacterial small subunit ribosomal RNA", at positions 505 to 1022 of the family's 1533-position model. The record is from RNAcentral. Lineage: Bacteria; Pseudomonadati; Bacteroidota; Sphingobacteriia; Sphingobacteriales; Sphingobacteriaceae.
GUGCCAGCAGCGGCGGUAAUACGGAGGAUCCGAGCGUUAUCCGGAUUUAUUGGGUUUAAAGGGUGCGUAGGCGGCCCGUUAAGUCAGGGGUGAAAUACGGUGGCUCAACCAUCGCAGUGCCUUUGAUACUGACGGGCUUGAAUCCAUAUGAAGUGGGCGGAAUAAGACAAGUAGCGGUGAAAUGCAUAGAUAUGUCUUAGAACUCCGAUUGCGAAGGCAGCUCACUAAGCUGGUAUUGACGCUGAUGCACGAAAGCGUGGGGAUCGAACAGGAUUAGAUACCCUGGUAGUCCACGCCCUAAACGAUGAUAACUCGAUGUUGGCGAUAGACAGCCAGCGUCCCAGCGAAAGCGUUAAGUUAUCCACCUGGGGAGUACGCCCGCAAGGGUGAAACUCAAAGGAAUUGACGGGGGCCCGCACAAGCGGAGGAGCAUGUGGUUUAAUUCGAUGAUACGCGAGGAACCUUACCGGGCUUGAAAGUUAGUGAAGGAUGCAGAGACGCAUCCGUCUCGGAC